This is a long non-coding RNA of Loxodonta africana (African savanna elephant), 2418 nucleotides long. RefSeq lists it as uncharacterized. Lineage: Eukaryota; Metazoa; Chordata; Mammalia; Proboscidea; Elephantidae. The transcript has 3 exons. The record is from RefSeq and is a predicted model, not a curated record.
AGAAUGAGCAAAAGUCCAUGAGCCUUGCCAGAAAGUCUACCUAUAUUGGUUGCAGGCCACACCCCCAAGGAAACUCCCUUUCAACUGAUUGGGGACUCACAGCAGAUCCCAUCAUUGAGAUGAUUACAUUACAUCAGAUCUUAUCAUGGAAGUGAUUACAUCAUUAUACGACUGCCAAACCACUGAAAGUCACGGCCCAAUCAAUUUGAAACACAACCAUAAUGAUCACACCCUGCUUUCAAGUCUUUUGGGUAGGUAUAUACCUAACAGUGCAACGGCGGAGUCAUAUGGUAAUUCUGUUUAACUUUAUGAGGAACCACCAAACUUUUCCACAGCAACUACACCAUUUUACAUUCCCACCAACAAUUGAUUAGGGUUCCAAUUUUUCCAUAUCCUUGCCAAUACUUCUUAUCUUCCAUUUUUCUGGUAAUAGUUAUCCUAGUGAGAGUGAAGUGGUAUUGUGGUUUUGAUUUGCGUUUCCCUAAUGAUUAAUGACGUGUCAAGCAUCUUUUUUUCCCUUAAGUUAAAUUAUUUUUUUGUUUAUUGUACUUUAGGUGAAGAUUUACAGAGCAAACUAGUUUCUCAUUUAACAUUUAAUACACAUACUGUUCUGUGACAUUGGUUGCCAACCCCACGACAUGUCAACACUCUCCCCUUCUCAGUCUUGGGUUCCCCAUUACCAGCUUUCCUGUCCCCUGCUGCCUUCUUGUCCUUGCCCCUGGAGUGGUGUGCCCUGUUAAGUCUCCUUUUGUUUUAUGGGCUUGUUUAAUCUUUGGCUGAUGGGUGAACCUCAGGAAUGAUGACUUCAUUACUGAGCUAAAAGUGUGUCUGCGGCCAUACUCUAGGGGUUUCUCCAGUCUCUGUCAGACCAAUAAGUCUGGUCUUUUUUUGUGAGUUAGAAUUUUGUUCUGCAUUUCUCUCCAACUCUGUCUGGAACCCUCUGUUGUGAUCCCUGUCAGAGCAGUUGGUGAUGGUAGCCGGGCACCAUCUAGUUGUGCUGGACUCAGUCUGGUGGAGGCUGUGGUAGUUGUGUUCCAUUAGUUCUUUGAGUUAAUCUUUCCCUUGUGUCUUUGGUUUCCUUUAUUCUCCCUUGUGUUGAGCAUCUUUUUAUGUGCUUAUUGACUGUUUGUAUGUUCUUUAGAGAAAUGUCUGUUCAAAUCCUUUGCCCAUUUUUAAAUUUGGUGGUUUGUUUUUUCUUGUUAAGUUGUAGGGUUUUUUUUUUUUUUUUUUAAUAUUCUGGGUACUAAACCCUUAUCAGAUACAUGGUUCCUAAAUAUUUUCUCGGAUUCUGUAGGUUUUCUUAACUUCCUUGAUAAAAUCCUUUGGAAGUUUUUACAUUUGGAGAACUGGAUUUAUCUGUUUUAUCUUUUGUUACUAAUGCUUUUGGUGUUAUAUCUUAGAAUCCACUGUCGGAAACUGGAUCCCAAAGCGUGUUUUAUUCUUAGCAUUUUAAGCUUUUAGUUCUGACAUUUAGAUCAUUGAUCUAUUUUGAGUUAAUUUUCAUACAUGGUGUGAGGUAUGGGUCCAAUGUCAUUCUUUUGCAUUCUUUUGCUCAGCACCAUUUAUUAAAAACUAUUCCCCAAUUGAAUGCAAUUGGCACCUUGUAAAAAAAUCAGUUGACCAUAGAAAAUGAAUUUAUUUCUGGACUCCCAAUUCUAUUUAAUUUCUUUAUAUCUUUGUCAUUAUAAAAAAAAAAAUAAAAAAAGUUGUCAUUAUACCAGCACCAAAUUGUUUUGAUUACUGUAGCUUUAUACCAGUUUUUGAAAUAGAGAAGUUUGAGUCCUCUUUGUUUUUAUUUUUCAGGGUUGCUUUGGCUAUUCGGAGCCCCUUGCAGUUUCAUAUGAAUUCAAGGAUUGAGUUUCCCAUUUCUGCCAAGAAACUGUUGGAAUUUGUGACUUGUGGAAUUAAAGAGAGAGAUGCCUGAAAACUAGAGACAGAGAAGUAUAUUUUUCAGAAAGGGGAAGAAGGAAGACUAUAGAGCUUGAUAUGGUCCUCAGGCGAAUAGAGACCAAUUGUUGUGCCUUGGAUGACCACUUGGAAGCUUUUAAGAACCCAGGCACUAUGCAAGGAACCAGGAGGUAGAAAAGAAGCACUAAACAUGUUAUUAGGCCAAGUAAUGGGGAUGUCGUGUGAAACUGCGACUCAUGAUGACCCAAUAUAUGCAGAGUAAAACUGUUCUCCACAGAGUUUUCAAGACUGUGGCCUUUCUGAAGCAGAUCACCAGGCCUAUCUUUCAAGGUACCUCUGAGUGGGUUUGAACUGCCAGUCUUUCAGUUAGCAGUCAAGCACUUAAUCGUUUGCACCACCCAGGGACUCCUGAGACAUCGUACCCACUGUUUUUAAUGACCUCAGGAGAUGGUGAAUUUUAUCUCUCUGGGUAAUCUCUCUGGCAUUAACCAGAAUUUUUUUUUUUCUUUA